GUGAAGCUGGAUUCGCUAGUAAUCGCGCAUCAGCCACGGCGCGGUGAAUACGUUCCCGGGCCUUGUACACACCGCCCGUCAAGCCAUGGAAGCCGGGGGUGCCUGAAGUGCGUGACCGCAAGGGACGCCCUAGGGUAAAACCGGUGACUGGGGCUAAGUCGUAACAAGGUACC
Molecule: ribosomal RNA, 173 nt
Filed under: uncultured bacterium
Lineage: Bacteria
Description: partial 16S ribosomal RNA
Rfam family: Bacterial small subunit ribosomal RNA
Source: RNAcentral